Molecule: ribosomal RNA, 207 nt
Filed under: uncultured bacterium
Lineage: Bacteria
Description: partial 16S ribosomal RNA
Rfam family: Bacterial small subunit ribosomal RNA
Source: RNAcentral
CGGAUUGUAGUCUGCAACUCGACUACAUGAAGCUGGAAUCGCUAGUAAUCGCGAAUCAGCAUGUCGCGGUGAAUACGUUCCCGGGUCUUGUACACACCGCCCGUCACACCAUGGGAGUCGGUAACGCCCGAAGUCAGUGACCCAACCGAAAGGAGGGAGCUGCCGAAGGCGGGACUGGUAACUGGGGUGAAGUCGUAACAAGGUACC